UCGUAACAAGGUCUCCGUUGGUGAACCAGCGGAGGGAUCAUUACCGAGUUUACAACUCCCAAACCCAAUGUGAACGUUACCAAACUGUUGCCUCGGCGGGAUCUCUGCCCCGGGUGCGUCGCAGCCCCGGACCAAGGCGCCCGCCGGAGGACCAACCAAAACUCUUAUUGUAUACCCCCUCGCGGGUUUUUUACUAUCUGAGCCAUCUCGGCGCCCCUCGUGGGCGUUUCGAAAAUGAAUCAAAACUUUCAACAACGGAUCUCUUGGUUCUGGCAUCGAUGAAGAACGCAGCGAAAUGCGAUAAGUAAUGUGAAUUGCAGAAUUCAGUGAAUCAUCGAAUCUUUGAACGCACAUUGCGCCCGCCAGUAUUCUGGCGGGCAUGCCUGUCCGAGCGUCAUUUCAACCCUCGAACCCCUCCGGGGGGUCGGCGUUGGGGAUCGGCCCUUUACGGGGCCGGCCCCGAAAUACAGUGGCGGUCUCGCCGCAGCCUCUCCUGCGCAGUAGUUUGCACACUCGCAUCGGGAGCGCGGCGCGUCCACAGCCGUUAAACACCCCAAACUUCUGAAAUGUUGACCUCGGAUCAGGUAGGAAUACCCGCUGAACCUAAGCAUAUC
Molecule: unclassified non-coding RNA, 614 nt
Filed under: Trichoderma virens
Lineage: Eukaryota; Fungi; Ascomycota; Sordariomycetes; Hypocreales; Hypocreaceae
Description: sequence contains 18S rRNA gene, ITS1, 5.8S rRNA gene, ITS2, 28S rRNA gene
Rfam family: 5.8S ribosomal RNA (bases 244-397)
Source: RNAcentral